This 69-nucleotide non-coding RNA is filed under the name Otolemur garnettii (small-eared galago). The record is from RNAcentral. Lineage: Eukaryota; Metazoa; Chordata; Mammalia; Primates; Galagidae.
GUGCGGACCAGGGGAAUCACUUAGGAGGCACAGUGUACGCUCUUCAGGUGACAGGUUCCAUGAACGCCC